CCUACGGGUGGCAGCAGUGGGGAAUAUUGCACAAUGGGGGAAACCCUGAAGCAGCGACGCCGCGUGAAGGAUGAAGGACUUCGGGAUUUAAACUUCUAUCAGCAAGGAAGCAAAUGUCUGUACCUGACUAAGAAGCUCUGGCAAAAUACGUGACAGCAACCGCGGUAAUACUUAGGGGGAAAGCGGUAUCCGGGUUUAAUGGGGUGGAAGGGAGCGUAGGCGGGUUAGCAAGUCAGAAGUGAAAGCCCGGGGCGCAACUCCGGGCAUGCUUUUGACACUGUUGAACUAGAUUGCAGGAGUGGUAAGUGGAAUUCCUAGUGUAGCGGUGAAAUGCGUAGAUAUUAGGAGGAACACCAGUGGCGAAGGCGGCUUACUGGACUGUAAAUGACGCUGAGGCUCGAAAGCGUGGGGAGCAAACAGGAUUAGAUACCCCUGUAGUC
Molecule: ribosomal RNA, 440 nt
Filed under: uncultured bacterium
Lineage: Bacteria
Description: partial 16S ribosomal RNA
Rfam family: Bacterial small subunit ribosomal RNA
Source: RNAcentral